Molecule: ribosomal RNA, 465 nt
Filed under: uncultured bacterium
Lineage: Bacteria
Description: partial 16S ribosomal RNA
Rfam family: Bacterial small subunit ribosomal RNA
Source: RNAcentral
GAUGAACGCUGGCGGCGUGCUUAACACAUGCAAGUCGAACGGAAAGGCUCCUGCUUGCAGGGGUACUCGAGUGGCGAACGGGUGAGUAACACGUGGGUGAUCUGCCCUGCACUUCGGGAUAAGCCUGGGAAACUGGGUCUAAUACCGGAUAGGACGAUGGUUUGGAUGCCAUUGUGGAAAGUUUUUCGGUGUGGGAUGAGCUCGCGGCCCAUCAGCUUGUUGGUGGGGUAAUGGCCUACCAAGGCGUCGACGGGUAGCCGGCCUGAGAGGGUGUACGGCCACAUUGGGACUGAGAUACGGCCCAGACUCCUACGGGAGGCAGCAGUGGGGAAUAUUGCACAAUGGGCGCAAGCCUGAUGCAGCGACGCCGCGUGGGGGAUGACGGCCGUCGGGUUGUAAACUCCUUUCGCUAGGGACGAAGCGCAAGUGACGGUACCUGGAGAAGAAGCACCGGCUAACUACGUG